RNAcentral lists this transfer RNA (72 nucleotides) under Camelus bactrianus (Bactrian camel). It matches the Rfam family "tRNA". Rfam says of the family: Transfer RNA (tRNA) molecules are approximately 80 nucleotides in length. Their secondary structure includes four short double-helical elements and three loops (D, anti-codon, and T loops). Lineage: Eukaryota; Metazoa; Chordata; Mammalia; Artiodactyla; Camelidae. The record is from Rfam by way of RNAcentral. RNAcentral also lists the same sequence under 2 other names.
GAGGGUAUAGCUUAGUGGCUGAGUGUAUGCUUAGCAUGCACAAGGUCCUGGGUUCAAUCCCCAGUACCUCCA